AAAAGUGGGGACCUUCGGGCCUGCCGUUGUUGGAUGAGUCCGCGGCCCAUUAGCUAGUUGGUAGGGUAAUGGCCUACCAAGGCUACGAUGGGUAGCUGGUCUGAGAGGAUGAUCAGCCACACUGGAACUGAGACACGGUCCAG
Molecule: ribosomal RNA, 143 nt
Filed under: uncultured bacterium
Lineage: Bacteria
Description: partial 16S ribosomal RNA
Rfam family: Bacterial small subunit ribosomal RNA
Source: RNAcentral